AAGACUUAUGUUUAUUGCAUAGCGUAACAUUAUGUUUAUUGCAUAGCGUAACACCAACUAAACUAAUGGCGCAAAAACCAUUUCCACAAGGCUCUAUUACAUUCCACGGCCCACUAGAAAACACGUAAACAAAAUCAAAAAAAUUCUUACACCAAAGUUCUGCUCUUUGCCCACAGAUUGACAUUUCUUGGGGAAGGAAAAACACCUUCAAAUUGUUUAUGAUUCCUCUCCUUAAACCCUAAAUCACUAGUUAAUUUUCCCCAAAUUUGUUGUUAUUCAAUUUGGUAAUUUGUUUUUCUUCUCAUUGAAGAAUCUGCAGAAUAAUGGAAGCAUCAAAAGCAGUUUGUGGGAAAGAAGCAUUGGAUCUUCUAAAUUGUGUUGUUGAUUCAAAUUACGAUGAAGAGAAAUGUCGUAAAUUUCUGCAAUCUCUUCGCCAGUGUGUCCUCUCCAAGAAAGUGAAGAAAUUCUCGCUACCUGACGAGAAGUCGCCAGAACUCCAGAAGUAGGUCAUGGCAGCAAAAGGCAAGCCUGAAUUGGUUAGUAGGAAUUAAUGUUGUAACGAGUUUAUAAAGGCAGCAUGUGUAAACACCAUUGUUGAGAAUUUUGUAGAUAGAAUUGUUGUGGAAGGCUUGAGUUCUUGAGGCUGGUUUCAAUUUAUGGUCUUUCAAGCCAUCAAACAGACAUUUUCUUACAAUUGUUACAGGCGAUAUAUAAACAUGUCAAUUGAAUGUA
Molecule: long non-coding RNA, 732 nt
Organism: Chenopodium quinoa (quinoa)
Lineage: Eukaryota; Viridiplantae; Streptophyta; Magnoliopsida; Caryophyllales; Amaranthaceae
Exons: 2
Source: RefSeq, a predicted model, not a curated record